GAUAGAGUUAGGGUUUGGAAUCGAUAGCAGUUUUGAGAUCGAGGGAUACGAAUAAAGCUUAAGAAAGGGAUGAUGAUGGUUGUGCUGAUUGUUUUGGUCGACUCAAACUCAUGGGAAGGGGUUGAUGUUGAAUCACAAAGUGUUGUCUCGAGUUCGCGGUUCUUUUCUUGAAGGCAGGUGUUACAACCAUUAGUGCUAUUCGAGGAGCUGCUAUUAUAAAUUAGGAGGAAUUGAUGUUGAAUCACGAAGUCUGUUUCGAGCGCAAACCAAGUCAUGUCUGCGUACAAAAACAUCAUGUUAGGGAGUUGGGUAGACAAUACUUAUUAGUCCAGUCUCAUUAUUGUCUAUGAAUCACGAAUGCUACCAGGAUUAACUUUAAUCCUGAUCUACCUGAACUUGGAGGAACAUGUGAGAGGUAGACAAUUUUUAUAAUCCUGUGAUGGAUAAGUAUUUUUAGUAGUAAAAGCCUUUUGUUUGUGACUGUUGCAUUUUGAUUUUUUUUUGAGUUCUACAUAGUCCCUAAUCUAACUGUAUUGACUCAACUGACACUUAAUGUUCUGCAGAUUUCUAUGCUCUACUCUUGGUCUACUAGGGCAUGUUCGCGGCAGGCAUUGGCCAAUGUAUCUUCCAUGCUUUGUUCAGCUGAGACCUUCAAUGGUGUAAUUACUAGA
Papaver somniferum (opium poppy) is the source of this 671-nucleotide long non-coding RNA. RefSeq lists it as uncharacterized. The transcript is spliced from 4 exons. Lineage: Eukaryota; Viridiplantae; Streptophyta; Magnoliopsida; Ranunculales; Papaveraceae. The record is from RefSeq and is a predicted model, not a curated record.